UGGGGAAUUUUGCACAAUGGGGGAAACCCUGAUGCAGCGACGCCGCGUGAUUUAGAAGGCCUUCGGGUUGUAAAAAUCUUUUCUAUGGGAAGAAAAUGACAGUACCAUAGGAAUAAGGACCGGCUAAUUACGUGCCAGCAGCCGCGGUAAUACGUAAGGUCCGAGCGUUGUCCGGAAUCAUUGGUCGUAAAGGGUACGUAGGCGGGUAAGCAAGUUAGAAGUGAAAUCCUAUAGCUCAACUAUAGUAAGCUUUUAAAACUGCUCAUCUUGAGGUAUGGAAGGGAAAGUGGAAUUCCUAGUGUAGCGGUGAAAUGCGCAGAUAUUAGGAGGAAUACCGGUGGCGAAGGCGACUUUCUGGCCAUAACCUGACGCUGAGGUACGAAAGCGUGGGUAGCAAACAGG
Molecule: ribosomal RNA, 402 nt
Filed under: bacterium
Lineage: Bacteria
Description: partial 16S ribosomal RNA
Rfam family: Bacterial small subunit ribosomal RNA
Source: RNAcentral